UUGGAAAGAGGAGUGGCGGACGGGUGAGUAACACGUGGGUAACCUACCCAUCAGAGGGGGAUAACACUUGGAAACAGGUGCUAAUACCGCAUAACAGUUUAUGCCGCAUGGCAUAAGAGUGAAAGGCGCUUUCGGGUGUCGCUGAUGGAUGGACCCGCGGUGCAUUAGCUAGUUGGUGAGGUAACGGCUCACCAAGGCCACGAUGCAUAGCCGACCUGAGAGGGUGAUCGGCCACACUGGGACUGAGACACGGCCCAGACUCCUACGGGAGGCAGCAGUAGGGAAUCUUCGGCAAUGGACGAAAGUCUGACCGAGCAACGCCGCGUGAGUGAAGAAGGUUUUCGGAUCGUAAAACUCUGUUGUUAGAGAAGAACAAGGACGUUAGUAACUGAACGUCCCCUGACGGUAUCUAACCAGAAAGCCACGGCUAACUACGUGCCAGCAGCCGCGGUAAUACGUAGGUGGCAAGCGUUGUCCGGA
RNAcentral lists this ribosomal RNA (480 nucleotides) under uncultured bacterium. RNAcentral describes it as "bacterial SSU rRNA". It matches the Rfam family "Bacterial small subunit ribosomal RNA", at positions 83 to 549 of the family's 1533-position model. The record is from RNAcentral.